UCCGCAUUCGUCUAGUGGUUAGGAUAUGGCGCUCUCACCGCCAGGGCCGGGGUUCAAUUCCCCGAUGCGGAA
RNAcentral lists this transfer RNA (72 nucleotides) under Syncephalis pseudoplumigaleata. It matches the Rfam family "tRNA". From Rfam's summary of the family: Transfer RNA (tRNA) molecules are approximately 80 nucleotides in length. Their secondary structure includes four short double-helical elements and three loops (D, anti-codon, and T loops). Further hydrogen bonds mediate the characteristic L-shaped molecular structure. tRNAs have two regions of fundamental functional importance: the anti-codon, which is responsible for specific mRNA codon recognition, and the 3' end, to which the tRNAs corresponding amino acid is attached (by aminoacyl-tRNA synthetases). tRNAs cope with the degeneracy of the genetic code in two manners: having more than one tRNA (with a specific anti-codon) for a particular amino acid; and 'wobble' base-pairing, i.e. permitting non-standard base-pairing at the 3rd anti-codon position. Lineage: Eukaryota; Fungi; Zoopagomycota; Zoopagomycetes; Zoopagales; Piptocephalidaceae. RNAcentral also lists the same sequence under 2 other names. The record is from Rfam by way of RNAcentral.